Tympanuchus pallidicinctus (lesser prairie-chicken) is the source of this 5688-nucleotide long non-coding RNA. RefSeq lists it as uncharacterized. Lineage: Eukaryota; Metazoa; Chordata; Aves; Galliformes; Phasianidae. The transcript has 2 exons. The record is from RefSeq and is a predicted model, not a curated record.
CGGGGCGAGGCGGCGAUGGCGGCGGCGGCGGCGGCGGCGGUGGCGACGGCGACGCGGGGCUGGCGGUGGCUGAUCGUAUAUGCUAAGAAGGACAUAAAACUGUUAGCAUCCAAGGAAGGGUAACAAAGAUGUGGAAGGGUCUGGAGGACAAGACAUGAGGAGCAGCUGAGGUCCCCGGGUUGUGCUCAGAGCAGCUGAGCUAAUGGCGGCUGCAGCUCCUCACAGCUCUGCUCUGUGUGACAGCGACAGGGCCUGAGGGAACGGCAUGGAGCUGUCAGGGGAGGGGCAGCUGGGGGUCAGGGAAAGGGGCUGCACCAGGGGGUGAUGGGCAUGGAAUGGGCUGCCCAGGGCUGUGGGCACAGCCCCGAGUGCUGGAGUUCACAGAGCAUUUGGACACUGCUUUCAGACAUAGGGUUUGGAUUUUGGUGAUCCUUUGUGGAGCCUGGAAUUGGACUCGAUGACCUGCCUGAUUCCCAGCAGAUGUCACAGCCUGUCAGCAGUGGGAACUGCCUGUCCCUCAUCACCCGUGCAGCUUUGGAGCCCAAAGGGCUGCCACGCAGGUGCAGUCCACAAGCUCUGGCAGGACCUGAAUUUGGGGCAGCUAAGCGGUUGCUGACCUGAGCUGGAUGAAGAACCAGGAGUCCUUGCUCACAUUUCAGCUGGACAGCCAUUUAGCUGUGUGCAAUGCAGACAGAAAAGACAGGGAUGACUUCAAACUUUGGCAAUUGAUGCACCUGUUGGUUGGAUUUCAUUAGCAGCUUUGUGGUCUGUAGCAGGAGCUAGCAGGCGCUCUGGGUCUGGACAUCAGUGCAUGUCCUAUGGCUGCCACUUUUGUGUCUUUACGAAGAUGUUGCUGUCCUUGCAGUGCUGCUGUGAGAAUGCUGUUGGAGUAUUUGUGCUGUUAGCAGGAAGAUGAAACUGACGGUGCUCAGAGCAUUUACAAUCUGUUUUUGCUCACUUGUGAUUUUCCAAGGCCUUUUGGGCUUCCCCUGCUUUGGAAAGAUUUUUUUCUUGGAAAAAGUUUUUUAAAACUCCUUUCAGCUAUUUUGAAGUAAUAAAUUCAGCUGUUUUUUUUUUUUUUUUCUAAUUGCUGGAGGCGUUAAGUGUGCUUUUACAAGCAAUAUUGCAGUAAGGCAUUGCAUAUGAAAACUUUUUUCACCACAGAUCUGUGUGGAGGGUUCUCUCUGCGCUUAGUGUUUUUGAUGCAAAAAGAACAUUGCACCUGGUUGCCCUCAGCUAUCUGACUGCAAGUGUGCUUCCCCCAUGAACAAGAGGGCCUUUUACAUCUGUUCCUUUACAUGGCAUGUUUUGGUCAGAAGCAUACCCACGUGCCUGCACCACGUCAGUCGAAAGUGACAUUGCUAACCUCGCAUCUUGGCGGAGUGCUGCAGAGUAUGGAAUGCACGAUGUGGAUGUGUACAGCUUUGGGAGUGCUGCUGGAGGAGUGCUGCUUCUGCUGCUGUGCCUCUAAAUGAGCGUGAUGGAUUGCUGUGGUGUGGUGAGGCUCACCGAGUGUCUUCUCGGAAGGUAAUAGAGGAUUAAUGAUAAUUCCUCGUCACGUCUCGCUCAGGGACUCUGCGUAUGUCAUCUACAAUUUCUGCCCUUGGAACAGAAGAUAUUUUGCAGAAUUGGGAGUUUCUUCUGUUGUCUCCAGUUGCUAUCUUCUCUCCCAGGAUCCUGCUGCUGUUUCAUCUUGUAUCUCACAGGACAAGUUUGAGUCUGCUUGGCAAAUUAGUCUUGAUGAUGCUUUUCAUGGAUUGGACGCUGGAGGGUGCUAAUGCAAUGAGAUCUGAAAUUGUUUCAGCAAAUUAAAGGGUUCCCCUUUGUUACUUGUGAAAUAGUUCUAUUCUUUGUUGCAACAUUUAAAUGGGAAGACAUCAUCUGUGGUCCUCACUGGCAGCUGAUCUUGCUCAGUGUGUGUAGUGCUCUAACCAAGCAUGUCAAUAAAGCAUUAAGUCUGUGAGGGAUUUCUUUCCUGAACCUUUGUAAAAAAUAAUAAUAAUAAUAAUAAUCAUUCAUUUUGUACUCAACGCAUUUUUAAGUGUGUCUUUCAAGAUUAUGGGCUUGGGAUGAGUUUUACUGACUUUCUAGUGAAUGAUAAGAACGCUCUAUGAGGCAGAACUGUUGAGAAACAUCUACAAAACCUGUUUUUCUAGAAAGUGAUUUUGGUUCACUGAAACUAGCAUGGUCACAUUGCUGGCUAGGUGAGCACCUGAUCGUGGCUCGUGUGCUGAGGAGGAGAGGGGUGGCUUGAACACCACUGAUGGAGUCCCUCAUGCUGUGACCCUCUGUCUGGGGAUCAACCUGAUUGAGCUCUCUAACAUCAAGCUUUGGGGUGGCUAUAUGUAUCAUAUAUGCACCAUACUUGCUUAAAGGUGUUCCUGCUGGCCUAACAUUAUGCUGAGCCUAUCUCUGCUCUCCUGUGCAGUUGGCAGAAAGAUGCCAGCUCCCUGGUGUGUGCUCUGGCAAUUCCAUACCCAGUAUUAGGGACUGCUUGAGCCAGUUAUUGUCCUGGCAGCAGCAGAGGUACGAUGCUGUCUAAUUAAUGCUAAUGAGAAGCAGGGUGCAAAGCCAAGUGUGUACAGCUGAUCACCCCUGGCACCCCAACAAGUCUGCUUAAAGCUGUCUCAGUCCUCAGCGAUCCUUCAUGGCCCUCCACCUGCCUUUGUGGAACCAUUAGCAAAAUGGGAGCUGCCAGUUAUAAAGUGUUUGAGCAAAACAGGUUUGUUGCAAAUACGCUUUCGCUAGAGAUCUUUCUCACAAGGUGUGAGUGAAUUACUGCUGUAUCUUGUUCCCCUUUCCAACGCAUUGCUCUGUCUUCUCCAGGAAAGCAUUACUUUGUGUUUGUUCUUUCGCAGGCGUUGCAGUGUGCUUACAUACAGACUGGUGCAGUUUUUCCUUCCUUCUAGAAAUACGCAGCAGUUUUUCUCUUGAACAGAAGAUGCAGAUGGGCAUGGAGAAAAGAGCUGUGUGUAAGGGAACCGGGUUAGGUCCUGCUCUGGCACUGUUUGAGAUACACUUGCUCACCCAGCAACACAGCCGGCGUGGCUGGUUACGCCGCUUGGCAUGAUGUCAAGAACCGAUACGCUAGCAGUGGUGCCAAAAGGAUUUGCAGUUGUGCAUUUCAUGUGGGCUGCGGCCUAAUUUAUCCUGAGAGACCCGUGACUGGCAGAGAAGGUUCACGGGCCUUAUGCCAUAGGCACUCAACUGCACGGCGUUGCGUUUAAGUGCUGCCAACUGCUGGCUGCUGAACUCAAGGCGCAAAGCCACCCCUUGAUGGGAGGGGAGCGGGCCGUGCCUGGGCUGCCCAGCACGUCGCUGAGUGCAGCCUGUCUGCUGCUCACGAAAGCCGUGCGAGCGAGCUCUGCGCGGCUCUGCUGCCUUAUGCGACAACGAGCUGCUGGGCUGGAGGCCUCUGCGAUCAGGGGUUGCUCAGGCCGGGGGAAAUGCCCGUGCUACUGGAUGUUCCUGAGGCCGCCUGCCUUGCCUUCUGCCCUCUGCUGCCGUGGGCAGGGCGACCACGCCUGCUUCCUUCUCUGCCAUUUUAAUUAAAAAUGGUUGGCAUCGGGGCUCUGCAGCAAUGAAAGGGAAAUGAUGGAACUUUGAAGAAUUUGGGGCAUAAAGUCGAUCUCUAAAUUUUAAUGUACUCAUUGCGUUCAAACAGUUAAUAGAUGCGUUUUAUUAUUGGGCUUUCAGGUGACCUAAUUUCCCUUAGUACUGUACAUUUAGCUUUAUACAUCUGCACCUAAUUUGUAAAAAAGGACUUAAUGAGAAACUUCAAACAGUUUAAAUGUCAAUUACAAAGCAAGAGAGGUUUUAAGGUUCCAGUAAUCUGUCCAUAUUGGUCAUCGAAACAUGAUCCCAGGUGGAUGUUAAUUCAAGACAGAUGGCAUUCCAAAGGCACAAUUACAAAGAGCUUAUAUAUUUUCAACACUAACAAGCUGUCACGCUACGUUGUAGCUACACUUCCAAUACUGUAUUACUACAAUUACUGCUUUAUCUGGUGUGGACUUGGUAAUAAAGGGGUUUGAUUCCCCACUCUUGAGUUGUCAGUGGGAUUUCUGAGGUGAACUGGAGAGUGGGGUAAGGUAGAGUGAAUAUCUUUCAUUUGGUCAUGCUGCUGGGUUAUUUUGUUUGAUUGGCUGGUGGUUUGGUUGUUUUGGUUUGGUUUUUUGUUGUUUUUUUUUUUUCUUUUAAGUUGGUGAAAUGCUAUUCAAAGGAAGGAGGGGGAAUAUUGCAUACAUGCACAACAAGACUAGCUCAUCACAGAAGGAUUUCUAUUUCCUGGCAACAAUAAUUAGCAUUAGUCUUAUCAGCUGCUAGGAAAUAGCUAUGACGACCUGUUGAAACCCACAACAUCCUGGAUGUUUUCACUUAAAAAGUCAUCUGAAAGCUUUUGGAGCAAUGCAUGUGUUACUUGGAAAACUGAAGUCAAAGGGAUUGAUUGUGACUUUACUUGCAAUGGUGUCAAGAGGGAGCAGUUCCACCACAGCUGGGCAGAAGCAGUACACCCAGAGCAAAAUCAGGUUUGAAUUAUUUGUAGGUUUCUAAAAGGGUGAUUAGGGCCAUAGGCAGAGAAAGAGGGGCUGAAUGAUACAGGCUAAACGCAGGACUUCCCUUAGACCUAAGCAUCAGCCUGUGGUAGACAGCAGGAUCUGGUGUGAAAUGUUUGAUCUACGUGUCAUAUUUUAGGUGGACAGGGAUCUGUGUAACUGAUCAUAGCUAUGUGAAACACAGUAGUAUGUAAUUUCCACUAAUUUGUUUGUUUGUUUCUUGAAACCAGGUCAUGAAAAAGCCAGACUUGCACUGCUCUGCCUGGAUAGUGUUUUAAUAGGCUUUAAAAAUUCUACACUUUUAGGAGCAAGAUUAAUAAUUCUCCCCAGGAAGGUUUUUAAGCUCCUGUGGGUGCGUGUAUUCUUUAAAGAGGUUCUGAGAGUGAAGGGCUUACACGUCUGCUAAUUUAUCUACCUUUCACUGGAAAGCAGAGCAGGAAGCAGGAAGGCUGUGAUGCUUCAUCCUCAGAGUGCUGGAGUUAAGUGGUGAGGUUUUGCUUUUUAAUUUUUGCUUUCAGUUAAAGAAUGCUGCAGAUGUGUUUUCUGAAAGUACCUUGCUUCCUUUUUGGAGGAGAUGCAAGUGUUGUUUGAAAUACGCAGCUCGUCAAUAAGUGAACUGGACUCCUGAGCUACGCUUGAAACAAAAUGCCAAUUUUACCUACAGUUUUACUAGGUUUCCUGGUUUAUACAGUGGCAUUUCAAUGGCCUCUAGUAAUUGUUUUUAGCAGGAAAAAAAAAAAAAUCAAACAAAAAUGAAAAACACAACCCAAAGCUCAUUAGCACAGAAUUUGGCAUGCCUUGAAUCGUUAAAUCUUUAUAUAAAUGCAGAAGUAAUUUGUAGCAAACAAAGUCCUUUAUUUUUUUUCGGGAAAGGCUUUCUUUUGAAUUUUCAAUUCUGGCUGCUGAGGUCCAGGUUGUUUUCCAAACGUCAAGUGUGAAUUCAAGAACAGAGGAGGAACCAAUUCAUGUUUUAAUUAAAUGUUAUGUGCGAUUCUUGAGUGUCAAAUAUACUAAUGGUGAUAAAUGAGCAAAAUUGUUUGGAAAACAAAAGGUAAUAAGAGAAUGCUUAGAUGAGUUUUUACAUCCAUGUAUUUAACUCAAAUUCAACACCAGCAGUGUUGCUCUCAAGUGUUUU